GAUGAACGCUAGCUACAGGCUUAACACAUGCAAGUCGAGGGGCAGCAUGAUUGAAGCUUGCUUCAAUUGAUGGCGACCGGCGCACGGGUGAGUAACACGUAUCCAACCUUCCGUACACUCAGGGAUAGCCUUUCGAAAGAAAGAUUAAUACCUGAUGGUAUCUUAAGCACACAUGUAAUUAAGAUUAAAGAUUUAUCGGUGUACGAUGGGGAUGCGUUCCAUUAGGUAGUAGGCGGGGUAACGGCCCACCUAGCCUACGAUGGAUAGGGGUUCUGAGAGGAAGGUCCCCCACAUUGGAACUGAGACACGGUCCAAACUCCUACGGGAGGCAGCAGUGAGGAAUAUUGGUCAAUGGACGAGAGUCUGAACCAGCCAAGUAGCGUGAAGGAUGAAGGUCCUACGGAUUGUAAACUUCUUUUAUAAGGGAAUAAAACCUCCACGUGUGGAGCUUGUAUGUACCUUAUGAAUAAGCAUCGGCUAACUCCGUG
This 488-nucleotide ribosomal RNA is filed under the name uncultured bacterium. RNAcentral's name for it is "bacterial SSU rRNA". It matches the Rfam family "Bacterial small subunit ribosomal RNA", at positions 28 to 507 of the family's 1533-position model. The record is from RNAcentral.